AUUGAACGCUGGCGGCAGGCUUAACACAUGCAAGUCGAGCGGGGAAAUGUAGCUUGCUACAUUACCUAGCGGCGGACGGGUGAGUAAUGCUUAGGAAUCUGCCUAUUAGUGGGGGACAACAUUUCGAAAGGAAUGCUAAUACCGCAUACGCCCUACGGGGGAAAGCAGGGGAUCUUCGGACCUUGCGCUAAUAGAUGAGCCUAAGUCGGAUUAGCUAGUUGGUGGGGUAAAGGCCUACCAAGGCGACGAUCUGUAGCGGGUCUGAGAGGAUGAUCCGCCACACUGGGACUGAGACACGGCCCAGACUCCUACGGGAGGCAGCAGUGGGGAAUAUUGGACAAUGGGGGGAACCCUGAUCCAGCCAUGCCGCGUGUGUGAAGAAGGCCUUUUGGUUGUAAAGCACUUUAAGCGAGGAGGAGGCUACCUAGAUUAAUACUCUGGGAUAGUGGACGUUACUCGCAGAAUAAGCACCGGCUAACUCUGUGCCAGCAGCCGCGGUAAUACAGAGGGUGCAAGCGUUAAUCGGAUUUACUGGGCGUAAAGCGUGCGUAGGUGGCCAAUUAAGUCAAAUGUGAAAUCCCCGAGCUUAACUUGGGAAUUGCAUUCGAUACUGGUUGGCUAGAGUAUGGGAGAGGAUGGUAGAAUUCCAGGUGUAGCGGUGAAAUGCGUAGAGAUCUGGAGGAAUACCGAUGGCGAAGGCAGCCAUCUGGCCUAAUACUGACACUGAGGUACGAAAGCAUGGGGAGCAAACAGGAUUAGAUACCCUGGUAGUCCAUGCCGUAAACGAUGUCUACUAGCCGUUGGGGUCUUUGAGACUUUAGUGGCGCAGCUAACGCGAUAAGUAGACCGCCCUGGGGAGUACGGUCGCAAGACUAAAACUCAAAUGAAUUGACGGGGGCCCGCACA
RNAcentral lists this ribosomal RNA (906 nucleotides) under uncultured bacterium. RNAcentral's name for it is "bacterial SSU rRNA". It matches the Rfam family "Bacterial small subunit ribosomal RNA", at positions 28 to 927 of the family's 1533-position model. The record is from RNAcentral.